GAUGAACGCUGGCGGCGUGCCUAAUACAUGCAAGUCGAGCGAACAGACGAGGAGCUUGCUCCUCUGACGUUAGCGGCGGACGGGUGAGUAACACGUGGAUAACCUACCUAUAAGACUGGGAUAACUUCGGGAAACCGGAGCUAAUACCGGAUAAUAUAUUGAACCGUAUGGUUCAAUAGUGAAAGACGGUUUUGCUGUCACUUAUAGAUGGAUCCGCGCCGCAUUAGCUAGUUGGUAAGGUAACGGCUUACCAAGGCAACGAUGCGUAGCCGACCUGAGAGAGUGAUCGGCCACACUGGAACUGAAACACGGUCCAGGCUCCUGCGGGAGGCAGCAGUAGGGAAUCUUCCGCAGUGGGCGAGAGCCUGACGGAGCAACGCCGCGUGAGUGAUGGAGGUCUUCGGAUCGUAAAACUCUGUUAUUAGGGAAGAACAAAUGUGUAAGUAACUAUGCACGUCUUGACGGUACCUAAUCAGAAAGCCACGGCUAACUACGUG
RNAcentral lists this ribosomal RNA (497 nucleotides) under uncultured bacterium. Its description in RNAcentral is "partial 16S ribosomal RNA". It matches the Rfam family "Bacterial small subunit ribosomal RNA", at positions 28 to 507 of the family's 1533-position model. The record is from RNAcentral.